AACCCAUGAUUUGGGCAUUUUCUCGGCAUCAUUUUGAAUCUCUCCCAUGUCUCACAAAACGCUUCAUUUGCUCUUUAUCUGAACAUAGAAAUUUCAGACUUUACUUU
Molecule: non-coding RNA, 107 nt
Organism: Phaseolus vulgaris (common bean)
Lineage: Eukaryota; Viridiplantae; Streptophyta; Magnoliopsida; Fabales; Fabaceae
Source: Rfam